Molecule: long non-coding RNA, 414 nt
Filed under: Solanum tuberosum (potato)
Lineage: Eukaryota; Viridiplantae; Streptophyta; Magnoliopsida; Solanales; Solanaceae
Description: long non-coding RNA (STUB_LNC002833)
Source: RNAcentral
UGAAAUGGAAUAGUUUUUUACAAAUUUAUAAAAUGGUUAACAAAAGCACAUGUUUGAAAUAUUGGUGAAUAGACAAUAGUAAAUACUAGUAUACGUUUUAUGGCUAUAUAAGCUAACAUCUUCCCCUGUCCCUUCUAAAGAAGAGUAGCAAAACAUGAGUGCAAGAAACUUUAUUUCAACAGCUCAAUUAUUAGUAUUACUCAUCUUCUUUAUCUCCUCAUUCUUCCAUGUAAAUGGCUUAACUUCAUCUGUCAAAAAUGGCAGAGAAGCCAUAGAAGUCAUAAUUGGUGGAGGAGGAGAUGUCCCUCCCAUUGCUCCUGCUUAUCCUCCAUAUUCAUAUUCACCUCCUCCACAAGAACCACUUUGCCCUCUUCCUCCCCCUCCUCCACAACCACUUUGUCCCCCUCCNNNNNN